Trichobilharzia regenti is the source of this 49-nucleotide non-coding RNA. The record is from Rfam. NCBI's taxonomy places the organism in Eukaryota, Metazoa, Platyhelminthes, Trematoda, Strigeidida, Schistosomatidae.
GUACUGAUGAAGAGUCCCAAAGGGCUAGGACGAAACAGCUUUCCAGUAC